Molecule: ribosomal RNA, 449 nt
Filed under: uncultured bacterium
Lineage: Bacteria
Description: bacterial SSU rRNA
Rfam family: Bacterial small subunit ribosomal RNA
Source: RNAcentral
UGGGGAAUUUUGGACAAUGGGGGCAACCCUGAUCCAGCAAUGCCGCGUGAGUGAAGAAGGCCUUCGGGUUGUAAAGCUCUUUUGUCAGGGAAGAAACGGUUUGGGCUAAUACCCUGGACUAAUGACGGUACCUGAAGAAUAAGCACCGGCUAACUACGUGCCAGCAGCCGCGGUAAUACGUAGGGUGCAAGCGUUAAUCGGAAUUACUGGGCGUAAAGCGUGCGCAGGCGGUUUUGUAAGACAGAUGUGAAAUGCCCGGGCUUAACCUGGGAACUGCAUUUGUGACUGCAAGGCUAGAGUUUGGCAGAGGGGGGUAGAAUUCCACGUGUAGCAGUGAAAUGCGUAGAUAUGUGGAGGAAUACCGAUGGCGAAGGCAGCCCCCUGGGUCAAGACUGACGCUCAUGCACGAAAGCGUGGGGAGCAAACAGGAUUAGAUACCCGCGUAGUCC